GGGGAGGGGAACGCUGUGAUUUAAUUAGUAAACUGCCACAGAACUUGAGACUGGCAGCCUUUAAAAGGAGGUAUAGUUAAUGAUAUGGAUAUGACCACAACCAGAUGCUGAUUCUGCCAAUCUCCGCUGGUGUCAGUAAUUUGUACUCAAUAAUGCACUGUAUGAAAAACAUUAAGGUCUCCCCAAAACCUAUAAAAUUUGACAGGAUAUCACUAGCCCUGAAAGGUAGUUAAGAGUUCAAGGGGUCUGGGAUCUCCUGCUAGUCUCUAUCUUUUUGAACCUAACCUCUAGGGGAGAUCAUAUUUUCUCAGUAAAAUUGGGAAAAUACACAAACGGACCUACUCUAUGGGUCGUUAAGAAAUAAAAUGUGCAUCGGAAAGCAGCUGGCACAGCGCCUCGUAAGCAACUGUAUUCAUAUUCUUUUUGGCCAAAUAGAAAGAAACAAAGAAAAGCUUCUGUGAAUUAAACAGUUUUGUAUGAUAAGAAAUUUUUUAAAAAAUACAGAGUGAUGAACACAAAAAAAAUUACAGCUGGAGAUUGUCAGUCCAUCACUCAUUAUUUAGAUCUAGGGUCACAAAUUGUAACAUAUUGUAGAAACUGUGAGCUUAGCAGCAAACAAGUGGGAAAGAAAGAAAAGAAAAAACAGUACGUCCAUCCGUGAUACUGAAUUCCAAUGGGCUGGAUAGGUUUAAAAAAUAAAAAGUACCUCCAGCUCAGAAGACACUAAAACUUUACAACUAAGCCAAGAUCGCCCUCCACAGAGUUCUAAUGCAACAUCCAACUCCAUCCCCGCCCUUUAGAGCACUCGGCCCGCAUUUCCGACCCGAGCUGGAGACCGAGCGCGGGACGCGCCCCAGGUGCCAGCCCCAGGCCGGAGCGCCAGGUGCAGGCGCCGCCCCGCCCUCCGCGGAGCCCGGAGACCCGCCGCCGGGCUGGGGAUGCCCGCGCGGGGCCGGCGGCCUGGACCCCCGGCCCGCCACGCUCCGGUGCCCCGCUCCUGUCGCGCCCUGCCCCCGGCGGGACGCGCCCCGACCACCCGGGCACGCCCCGGGCCGGCAAUCGCGGGGUGAGCGGAAGAUGAAGGUGAAGAUAUUUUGGUUUGCUGUCAUCAUAAAAAUACUUUGAAGAUGAUGAAUUGACCAAAGACAUCUAUCUCCUUCCUAAGGCCACACUAAAAUGAUGGUAAGGGAUAAGAAUACUCAAAAAAGAUGGAAAAGAAAAAUAAAUACUCUAAAGACAGGGGAGUGGACCUCCAUGGCUGGGAAAUUUCAGUAAAUGUUUGGCUGAGGGAAAGCAGGGUGCAGUAGUAACUGAAUGAAGGGGCAGAGAAAACUGUUUAGGAGGAGAAGAGCAC
Molecule: long non-coding RNA, 1354 nt
Filed under: Bos grunniens (domestic yak)
Lineage: Eukaryota; Metazoa; Chordata; Mammalia; Artiodactyla; Bovidae
Description: lncRNA (ENSBGRG00000026155.1)
Source: RNAcentral